This 1171-nucleotide long non-coding RNA is filed under the name Linum usitatissimum (flax). Its description in RNAcentral is "long non-coding RNA (LUSI_LNC005953)". Lineage: Eukaryota; Viridiplantae; Streptophyta; Magnoliopsida; Malpighiales; Linaceae. The record is from RNAcentral.
GAAAACAAGAGUUGGAGUAAAUGGGGAAUUGCGGCCAACAUUCUUGUUAUUGUUGUUAUUGUACUGAUCAGGAGAAGGACAGAGGAGUAGCUCUGUAGCUUGAGCUUUCUCUUCAACAAUCAUGGUUUCCUUCAUUCCCAUACUUAUGGCUCAAUGAGAAUAAUGAAACAAACCCUCAAAAUUGCUACACUAAAUCACCGACAUGACACCCAGAACGAACGUCCAUUGGCAUUUAUGAUUGGUAGUAGCUAAAAUUUAUGACAGGGAAGAGGCCCAUCUAAUGCCUUAUAUUAAUCAAGGGGAGUCCAACAACAAAGCAUCCUCGUUCCAACACGAGGUAAACAGAGGAACACAACACAACGGUAAGAGCAACGACAGAAACAUCAAAACUCAGAAGACUACAAAUCUGCUGCCCAUCCUGGCGUUAAAGUUCCUUCUCUCGCAAGCUUGGCGAUUCGAUCAAAAAAAAGUAAGUCGCGCUCUUGGGCACAACUCCAUCCUGGAUGCAUGACAAGAGAGUCGAGGAUAAACGCAACCAGAGACGCCACCGCCCACUGCCACAUGUUUGGCGGUUGACUCAGGGCCUCCACAAGAACCUUGCAAUCCGACAGAAUAUUGAUCGAACCAACCAAAGUGGCGGCAAGCCUUACGGCAACUAGUAAAGCCUAGCCUUCCGCCACUAAAGGCUUCUAACAAACAAGGCGCUCUGCUCUCCCAUCGGAGUUGAACAUAAUCACUCCAUAGCCCGCCUCCUAGACGUCAUGCUUAAAUGACCCAUCACACAACAGAGUAAAAGAAAAUUUGUUUGGCAGUUGAGAUUCGAUAUGAUGAGAUACGAUUGGAGAGGGCGAAGGAGGACGGGAAGGCUUGGAAUACGCCGUCCACAUCCCAACUUCUUUCCUGAAGUAGAAGUCCAUCGCAUUAACAUCUGCAUCAAAACCCUUAAAAAUCCUUUCAUUUCGUGUCUUCCACAAUAUCUAGCAACCAAAAGCGGCUCUAAUAUGGGAACUUGCCUCUGCACCGUCUUUAAGCUCAAAGAACCAGACAUUAAAAUUCAUCACGUAAGUCGGUUAGAUCGGCGGAGGGAGAACCUUGGCCCAGAACUAACUUUGGACAGCGACGCGUAAGUUGGAGACCAGCAAGCCGCCCACAAUCCACACUCGAUGGUAAC